This 59-nucleotide transfer RNA is filed under the name Loxodonta africana (African savanna elephant). It matches the Rfam family "tRNA", at positions 6 to 65 of the family's 71-position model. Rfam says of the family: Transfer RNA (tRNA) molecules are approximately 80 nucleotides in length. The record is from Rfam by way of RNAcentral. Lineage: Eukaryota; Metazoa; Chordata; Mammalia; Proboscidea; Elephantidae.
GGUAGUUCAUGGUAGAAUUCUUGCCUUCCAUACAGGAGACCUGGGUUCAGUUCCCAGCC